UCACUUCUGUAGUACAUAUAUUAAAAUUGGAACUGUGCAAAGAAGAUUAGCAUGGCUCCUGUGCAAGGAUGAAAUGCAAAUUUGUGAUGUUUUCCAUAUUUUU
This 103-nucleotide small nuclear RNA is filed under the name Procavia capensis (Cape rock hyrax). Lineage: Eukaryota; Metazoa; Chordata; Mammalia; Hyracoidea; Procaviidae. The record is from RNAcentral.